RNAcentral lists this ribosomal RNA (429 nucleotides) under Pseudomonadota bacterium. RNAcentral's name for it is "Proteobacteria bacterium partial 16S ribosomal RNA". It matches the Rfam family "Bacterial small subunit ribosomal RNA", at positions 355 to 776 of the family's 1533-position model. The record is from RNAcentral. Lineage: Bacteria; Pseudomonadati; Pseudomonadota.
UGGGGAAUAUUGGACAAUGGGCGAAAGCCUGAUCCAGCCAUGCCGCGUGUGUGAAGAAGGUCUUCGGAUUGUAAAGCACUUUAAGUUGGGAGGAAGGGCAGUAAGCGAAUACCUUGCUGUUUUGACGUUACCGACAGAAUAAGCACCGGCUAACUCUGUGCCAGCAGCCGCGGUAAUACAGAGGGUGCAAGCGUUAAUCGGAAUUACUGGGCGUAAAGCGCGCGUAGGUGGUUCGUUAAGUUGAAUGUGAAAGCCCCGGGCUCAACCUGGGAACUUCAUCCAAAACUGGCGAGCUAGAGUAGGGCAGAGGGUGGUGGAAUUUCCUGUGUAGCGGUGAAAUGCGUAGAUAUAGGAAGGAACACCAGUGGCGAAGGCGACCACCUGGGCUCAUACUGACACUGAGGUGCGAAAGCGUGGGGAGCAAACAGG